Molecule: long non-coding RNA, 1251 nt
Organism: Dreissena polymorpha
Lineage: Eukaryota; Metazoa; Mollusca; Bivalvia; Myida; Dreissenidae
Exons: 3
Source: RefSeq, a predicted model, not a curated record
UAAAGUAAAAAAAAAAUCGCCACUUUUUCAAACAAUACUUGCUGAAAGUGCAGCUUUGAAAAAAAAAGAUUCAAUCAAAGCUUUGUGUUAAAGUGUUAACAUUUAUUAACUUGGCAUUAGUGAGAAAGGGCGGAACACAUAUUGAUUAUCGAUAUAACUCACCGGUAUUACACAGACAACUUCAAGUACAGCAUCAAUAUCUGCAAGUAACACAUCACCUACAGUUAUUACACCAGCAAUUACAAGUACCACAUCACCUACAGUUAUACCACCAGGAAUUUCAAGUAACACAUCGACUACAGUUAUUCCAGCAGGAUUUACAAGUAACACAUCACAUACAGUUAUUACACCAGCAGUUACAACUAACAUGUCACCCGCAGUCAGUACACCAGCAACUACACGUACCAUAUCACCUACAGUUAUUACACCAGCCAUUACAACUAACACAUCACCUACAGUUAUUACACCAGGAAUUACAAGUACAUCGACAUUGGAUAGAGGCAAUGCAGUGGAACCCACGAUCCCAACACCAGGUCCAUCCGAUGGGGGCGAAACAACUCCUGGUAAUGAGGGCCUAACAGCUUACGAGUCCAAACCCUAUGUGCUCUUCGUGACGGUCGUUAUGACUACACUAUACCAAUGGGUUUAGAAUGGCGUAUUAAUAUUUAAAAAGCACAAUCAUUAGCUGUUGAAGUAAUUGGUGCUGAUAAAUAUGAAUUACUUUGAAAGCAUCAAGAACCAUUGUUACCGAUUUGACCUAAUGAACGGGUUAGAAAUGUACAUGCUGAUAAAAAAUGUUUAAUAUAUUAUUAUUUAGUUAUACUUAUUAUCGUAGCUUGUUAUGAAUGUGAUGCUGCAUUAUUUUGCCCCAAGUUUGUUCAUUUUGUGUAUGAAAUAUAAAAAAAAUCAACGCGAUAUAACAAAAUAUGGUGUUUUACAUAUGUUUUAAUUUAAUCAUAGUGUUUGUAAGAAUGCUUUUGUAAUUUGACAUGUAUUAAUACGUUGUUUUUCUACAAGCUACAUGUUACUUAAUUAUUUUAACAUUUUCAUCUAUUAAGUUUAUGUUAUAAUAAGGUUACUUAUUGUCUUCUAUUCCUGCAUAUUAGGCAGGUGAAACUUUGUGUGAUCAAUAUGGUCGUAUCAUUUAUUUAGUAACUACCAUUGUAUUAUGUAUGUUCAUUAGACAUUUUCCAUUAUAAAAACUGUAUUAUAGAACUUACUAUUUGUUGCAUCCAAUAAAAUUGUCUUAUA